AGCUUUGCACAGUGGCAGUAUUGUAGCCAAUGAAGGUUUAUCCGAGGCGCGAAUAUUGCUUAUUGAAAACUGUCCUAUUAUAUCGAGCCUAAGUCUGUAUCUGUUAAUCUUAAAUCAGAUUAUUAGACUUUUACCUCUAAA
Molecule: small nuclear RNA, 141 nt
Filed under: Mustela putorius furo (domestic ferret)
Lineage: Eukaryota; Metazoa; Chordata; Mammalia; Carnivora; Mustelidae
Description: U4 spliceosomal RNA
Rfam family: U4 spliceosomal RNA
About the family: U4 small nuclear RNA (U4 snRNA) is a component of the major U2-dependent spliceosome. The structure of U4 snRNA from yeast and human has been reported. U4 snRNA presents a k-turn RNA motif in the 5p-SL related to recognition of Snu13 protein.
Source: Rfam by way of RNAcentral